This 245-nucleotide ribosomal RNA is filed under the name uncultured bacterium. Its description in RNAcentral is "partial 16S ribosomal RNA". It matches the Rfam family "Bacterial small subunit ribosomal RNA", at positions 524 to 768 of the family's 1533-position model. The record is from RNAcentral.
UACGGAGGGUGCAAGCAUUGAUCGGAAUUACUGGGCGUAAAGGGCGCGUAGGCGGUUUGGUAAGUCAGAUGUGAAAUUCCGCGGCUCAACUGCGGAGCUGCAUUUGAAACUACCGAACUCGAGCAUAGUUAGGGAAAACGGAAUUCCACGUGUAGCGGUGAAAUGCGUAGAUAUGUGGAAGAACACCGGUGGUGAAGACGGUUUUCUGGGCUAUUGCUGACGCUGAGGCGCGAAAGCUAGGGGAG